GGUGGGAUGUCGGAGCGGUUUAACGAGCUGGUCUUGAAAACCAGAGUUCCCGUCAGGGAACCGCAGGUUCGAAUCCUGCUCCCACCGCCA
This 90-nucleotide transfer RNA is filed under the name Candidatus Kerfeldbacteria bacterium CG08_land_8_20_14_0_20_40_16. RNAcentral describes it as "tRNA-Ser". It matches the Rfam family "tRNA". From Rfam's summary of the family: Transfer RNA (tRNA) molecules are approximately 80 nucleotides in length. Their secondary structure includes four short double-helical elements and three loops (D, anti-codon, and T loops). Further hydrogen bonds mediate the characteristic L-shaped molecular structure. tRNAs have two regions of fundamental functional importance: the anti-codon, which is responsible for specific mRNA codon recognition, and the 3' end, to which the tRNAs corresponding amino acid is attached (by aminoacyl-tRNA synthetases). tRNAs cope with the degeneracy of the genetic code in two manners: having more than one tRNA (with a specific anti-codon) for a particular amino acid; and 'wobble' base-pairing, i.e. permitting non-standard base-pairing at the 3rd anti-codon position. Lineage: Bacteria; Candidatus Kerfeldiibacteriota. The record is from RNAcentral.